This is a long non-coding RNA of Onychostoma macrolepis, 1196 nucleotides long. RefSeq lists it as uncharacterized. The transcript has 3 exons. The record is from RefSeq and is a predicted model, not a curated record. NCBI's taxonomy places the organism in Eukaryota, Metazoa, Chordata, Actinopteri, Cypriniformes, Cyprinidae.
GGACCGUCAGGAUCAGCAUCAUUAGGAGUUUCAGUGUUACUGUCACUGAUCCAGGUCUGUCUUUCUUUGCUUUAUUUGGAAUAUGUGGUGUUGUUAUGGGGGCAGCUGUCAUUGUGUAUUUUUGCUGUUGGAAAUGCUUAAGUAAGAAACCGGCAACAGGAAGAAGCGCAAGAUACUAUACCACUGAGAACUCAGAUCUAUGAGAUCUGUAAAUGUUAUUUGAGUUUCCUGUAUGUGGUUUCAUUCAGAAAUAAUAGAUCACUGCUCUUGUAAGUUUAAAGUGAAGAACCGUGGCACUAAUAAAUUUUAUAUUAUUAUUAUUAAAUAUACAAUUAUUUAUUAAUAAGGGGCAUUAUGAUGGUGCUUUAGGAUAAGGUAGUAACAAAUGUGAGAACAGUUUUCCUAGGGAUUGUCCAUUAUUAUGAUCACCACAGAAGCAGAAUUCAUGGGUGAGGCCAUGCCACAACAAUAACAACACAAAUAACUCCCAAAUAAAUCAAGUGUUUUAUUAGGAGAUCAAGUGAGAGUAUAUGUAUUGUCUUAAAGCUUCAGUAAGUGAUUUAUGAGAAAUGCCAAUGAUAUUUGAAAUCAAAACCAAAACAAACAAACCCUUCCCCUCAUUGAUCUGCCCCCAAAAUGUGAGAAUGGAUGCCUCUUUAUCAUCGCUGAAGCGAAGCAAAAUAAUGCUUUGCAAAACAUAAGCGAUGACAACGAACGUACGACAAGAGAUAACAAAAACUAACAUACAGCACACAAGAGCAUCAGUAAGAGUUGGUUGUUAGUCACCAUACUGCAUGCCAGAUCCAGACAAACAGUGAAAACUCAAACUGUUCUGUUACUUUAGCUAUUUCAACAACAUCAUAUCAAUUUCUCUGUCAUUCUCGUGGAGAGUUCUAAAUCUCAGCAACAUGAAAAGUGAAUAUUUGUUUCUCAAUGCUGAUUUCAGCUAUGAGUUUCCAGCUCCAUAUUUCCAUAUUAUGUCUUCAUCUUAAUAUAUUUCAGUAACAUCAGUGUUUAGAGUAACAAAAUCUCUCUUCAUCACACUGACUGUAUUUCAUUUGUCUCAACACCAAACACACCUGAUGAACAAAUUAAGACUUCUGUUGAUUUACAAAUCCUGAAAUAAGCUGUAGUUUGAAAUUAUACGUUCACUAUUCAAUUUUUGAAUUUAUUUUACUUUUGUUGUUCUUUAUGAU